AAAGUCGUAACAAGGUCUCCGUUGGUGAACCAGCGGAGGGAUCAUUACCGAGUUUACAACUCCCAAACCUACUGAGAACCUACCGAUGUUGCUUCGGCGGUGUCGCCCCGGUGCCUGAGCUGCCCGGAGCCAGGCGCCCGCCGGAGGUCCCGAACUUCUUGUGUUGGCCUGUGGAUCUUCUGAGUGGUUGGCAAAAUGAAUCAAAACUUUCAACAACGGAUCUCUUGGUUCUG
RNAcentral lists this unclassified non-coding RNA (233 nucleotides) under Ascomycota sp. Its description in RNAcentral is "partial contains small subunit ribosomal RNA, internal transcribed spacer 1, and 5.8S ribosomal RNA". The stretch from base 1 to 47 matches the Rfam family "Eukaryotic small subunit ribosomal RNA", at positions 1785 to 1831 of the family's 1831-position model. Lineage: Eukaryota; Fungi; Ascomycota. The record is from RNAcentral.